AGGUGAGGUAGAGGCGCGGUUAUCAAGAGUAGCUCCGGGAAGGUCCAACGGCAUGGACAGCGCACCGGAGGGAAAGGGAUCGCCGCCGAAGUUCGGGUUUGCCACACCUGGGCUGGGUCUGCAGUGAAGAACUGCAGGACUGUCACCGUCGGAACAUUCCCACUCCUGAAUCGGCCUAUUUCGCUCGAUGACGGAGGUUUCACGGUGGAGCGCUAUCUUACGA
RNAcentral lists this non-coding RNA (223 nucleotides) under Heliomicrobium modesticaldum. Its description in RNAcentral is "Heliobacterium modesticaldum Lysine sequence". It matches the Rfam family "Lysine riboswitch aptamer". From Rfam's summary of the family: Riboswitches are metabolite binding domains within certain messenger RNAs that serve as precision sensors for their corresponding targets. Allosteric rearrangement of mRNA structure is mediated by ligand binding, and this results in modulation of gene expression. This family includes riboswitches that sense lysine in a number of genes involved in lysine metabolism, including lysC. The record is from RNAcentral. Lineage: Bacteria; Bacillati; Bacillota; Clostridia; Eubacteriales; Heliobacteriaceae. RNAcentral also lists the same sequence under 1 other name.